GGAGCCAUUCUAUACAGAGCUAUCAAAAUUAGAGUAGUACCAGGUACUAAUUCAAUGCCAAGCUCGACUUCUCAUAUCGGAGGCAAAACUCGGUAGUUCUUCAGGAAACACAUCAGAGAAUUCACAGACAACAGGCACAGAUUCAAAUUUCUUAUCAUUCACUUUCGAGUCUAACACAUAAGCUAAGUAGGCUUAACAGCCUUUCUUCACAUAUUUUCGUGCUUUCAUUGCAG
RNAcentral lists this long non-coding RNA (233 nucleotides) under Gossypium barbadense (sea-island cotton). RNAcentral's name for it is "long non-coding RNA (GBAR_LNC003114)". The record is from RNAcentral. Lineage: Eukaryota; Viridiplantae; Streptophyta; Magnoliopsida; Malvales; Malvaceae.